This 65-nucleotide small nuclear RNA is filed under the name Prolemur simus (greater bamboo lemur). Its description in RNAcentral is "U7 small nuclear RNA (ENSPSMG00000010322.1)". It matches the Rfam family "U7 small nuclear RNA". From Rfam's summary of the family: Animal histone pre-mRNAs are spliced by a different mechanism than nuclear pre-mRNAs and self-splicing introns. This processing involves the U7 snRNP, which contains only one RNA species: U7. The 5' end of U7 RNA is thought to base-pair to a conserved spacer element downstream of the cleavage site in histone pre-mRNA. The record is from Rfam by way of RNAcentral. Lineage: Eukaryota; Metazoa; Chordata; Mammalia; Primates; Lemuridae.
AAGUGUUACAGCUCUUUUAGAAUUUGUCUAGCAGGUUUUCUGUUUUUUCACCAGAAAAUACUCCC